Molecule: long non-coding RNA, 1993 nt
Organism: Sinocyclocheilus anshuiensis
Lineage: Eukaryota; Metazoa; Chordata; Actinopteri; Cypriniformes; Cyprinidae
Source: Ensembl
AGAAGAAAUGAAUGAACCUAUAAAAUAAACUUUGCUUACUUUGCAGGACAGCUUCUGGAGUUGAGGGUGUUGAUUGACUUGCUGAUUGAGUUGUAGACACAAGUUGAGUUGUUGUCAGUUGAGAGGUAAAUGUUGGUGUUGCUGUUCGAGUUGUAGAUGUUAAUGCACUUGAUUUCAAUGUUGAUGCAGUUGAUGUAGUUUGAGCUGUUGAUGUUGAUCCAGUUGAUGUCACUGCUGGCACAGUUGAUAUUGUUGAUAGAGUGGUAGAUGUUGGUGCAGUUAAUGUUAAGGUUGGUGCUGUUGAUAUUGAGGAUGGUACAGUUGUUGUUACUAGAGUGGUAGAUGUUGGUGCAGCAGUUGUUGGUAGAGUGGUAGAUGUUGGUGCAGUUGUUGUUGAUAGAGUGGUGAAUGUUGGUGCAGUUGUUGUUGAUGGAGUAGUAGAUGUUGGUGCAGCUGAUGUUGAGGUUGGUGCAGUUGUUGUUGAUGGAGUGGUAGAUGUUGGUGCAGUUGAUGUUGGGGUUGGUGCAGCAGUUGUUGAUGAUAGAGUGGUAGUUGGUGCAGUUGUUGAUAGAGUGGUGGAUGUUUGUGCAGUUGUUGCUGAGGUUGGUGCAGCAGUUGUUGGUAGAGUGGUAUAUGUUGGUGCAGGUGAUGUUGAUGUUAGUACAGUUGAUGUUGAGGAUGGUACGUUUGUUGUAACUACAGUGGUAGAUGUUGGUGCAGUUGAUCUUAAGGUGAGUGCAGCAGUUGCUGAUGAAGAGGUAGAUGUUGGUUUAGUUGUUGUUGAUAGAGUGGUGGAUAUUGGUGCAGUUGUUGUUGAUAGAGUGAUGGAUGUUGGUGCAGGUGUUGCUGAGGUUGGUGCAGUUGUUGAUGGAGUGGUAGAUGUUGGUACAGUUGUUGUUGGUGCAGUUGAUGUUGGUGCAGAAGUUGUUGGUAGGGUGGUGGAUGUUGGUGAAGUUGUUGUUGAAAGAGUGGUGGAUGUUGGUGCAGUUGUUGCUGAGGUUGGUGCAGUUGUUGUCGAUGGAGUGGUAGAUGUCAGUACAGUUGAUGUUGAGGUUGGCGCAGCAGUUGUUGGUAGAGUGGUAGAUGUUAGUAAAGUUGAUGUUGAUGGAGUGGUAGAUGUUGGUGCUGUUGAUGCUGAGGUUGGUGCAGUUGUUGAUAUUGUGGUAGAUGUUGCUGAGGUUGGUGCAGUUGAGGUUGGUGCAGCAGUUGUUGGUAGAGUGCUAGAUGUUGGUGCAGUUGUUAGUGCAGCAGUUAUUGAUAGAGUGGCGGAUGUUUGUGCAGUUGUUGUUGUGGUUGGUAGUCUGUUAGAUGUUGGUGGAAUUGAUGUUGAGGUUGGUGCAGUUGUUGGUGAUAGAGUGGUGGAUGUUGCUGCAGUUGAUAUUGAGGUUGGAGCAGCAGUUGUUUGUAGAGUGAUAAAUGUUGGAGCAGUUGUUGUUAGAGUGGUGGAUGUUUCUGCAGUUGAUGUUGAGGUUGGUGCAGUUGUUGUUGAUGGAGUAGUAGAUGUUGAGGUUGGUGCAGUUGUUGUUGAUGGAGUGCAAGAUGUUGGUGCAGUUGAUGUUGAGGUUGGUGCAGCAGUUGUUGGUAGAGUGGUAGAUGUUGGUACAGUAGUUGUUGAUGGAGUGGUAGAUGUUGGUGCAGCAGUUGUUGACAGAGUGGUUGAUGUUGGUACAGUAGUUGUUGAUGGAGUGGUAUAUGUUGGUGCAGCAGUUGUUGGUAGAGUGGUAGAUGUUGGUGCAGCAGUUGUUGAUGGAGUGGUAGAUGUUGGUGCAGUUGAUUGUGAGGUUGGUGCAGCAGUUGUUGGUAGAGUGGUAGAUGUUGGUGCAGCAGUUGUUGAUGGAGUGGUAGAUGUUGGUGCAGUUGAUUGUGAGGUUGGUGCAGCAGUUGUUGGUAGAGUGGUUGAUGUUGGUGCAGUAGUUGUUGAUGUAGUGGUAGAUGUUGGUGCGGUUGAUGCUGAGGUGGUUUCAGUUGUUGUUGACAGAGUGGUUGAUGUUGG